This 253-nucleotide ribosomal RNA is filed under the name uncultured bacterium. Its description in RNAcentral is "partial 16S ribosomal RNA". It matches the Rfam family "Bacterial small subunit ribosomal RNA", at positions 524 to 776 of the family's 1533-position model. The record is from RNAcentral.
UACGUAGGGUGCAAGCGUUGUCCGGAAUUAUUGGGCGUAAAGAGCUCGUAGGCGGUUUGUCGCGUCUGCUGUGAAAACUCGGGGCUCAACUCCGAGCUUGCAGUGGGUACGGGCAGACUAGAGUGCGGUAGGGGAGACUGGAAUUCCUGGUGUAGCGGUGGAAUGCGCAGAUAUCAGGAGGAACACCGGUGGCGAAGGCGGGUCUCUGGGCCGAUAUCGACGCUGAGGAGCGAAAGCGUGGGGAGCGAACAGG